This 196-nucleotide unclassified non-coding RNA is filed under the name uncultured fungus. RNAcentral describes it as "sequence contains ITS1, 5.8S rRNA gene". Lineage: Eukaryota; Fungi. The record is from RNAcentral.
ACGAGUGAGGGUCCCAGCGGCCCAACCUCCCAACCCUUUGUUUACUGAACCUAUGUUGCUUCGGUGGGCCCGUCUCAGGACCGCCGGGGGUUCGCCGCGAGGCGUCCCCUGGCCAGCGCCCGCCGGUGGCCAACCAUUAAAACUCUUGAAUGAAUCGUGUCCUCUUGUCUAAGUCAUGAUUAUCAAAUCAAAAACA